Molecule: long non-coding RNA, 645 nt
Organism: Hevea brasiliensis (rubber tree)
Lineage: Eukaryota; Viridiplantae; Streptophyta; Magnoliopsida; Malpighiales; Euphorbiaceae
Exons: 2
Source: RefSeq, a predicted model, not a curated record
UUUAGUUGUUUUUCAUGUAGCGGUGUGGUUGAAAGCCUGAGAUCCAAGCUUUUCCUAUACAGGACUGAAUUUGAUUCUUUCUUCUUCCGCUGUUAAGCUCUGGACUAAUGUUACUAAACCGCGUCCCAAUAUUUCCGAGAGUUCUCCCCCUUCUAAUUGGCUUAAGUGGAAUAUUGAUGGUUUUUUGAGGUCUAGACCUGAUAUUUGGAGCUCGGUCAGUGGGAUCAUUGUUGAAUCAGACUCUACGAUUGCUGUUUCAUGGGUUCACUCUUUGGAUUUAGUGCCAUGGCGCCUAUGUUCUGUUUCUAAUUCUAUUGCUACCUGUUUGAGUCUGUUUCCAGUUGUUUCUUUUAAUCAUAUUCGUCGCGAAGCAAAUGGGGUACUGACUCUCUAGCGAAGCAAGGUAUUAGAUGCACAAAUGAUUUAAUUGCCUGGUUGUAAUGCGUUUGAUUAGCUCUUGUCGGAUGCUUCUGCCCUUUAUUUCUGAUGUGGUUGAACUGGUUUGGGUGUUUGUUUUGCUGGUUUUGGGAAUGAUGUCACUAUGCUUAGUUUGAUGACAAGAAUCUCGUUUUAUUAGGUGUGCUUCUUCUUUUACAGUGGGAGAAUUUUGUAUAAGCAAGUUUGCACUGCUGUUUUGGAUUUGAA